UAAGCAUUGCCUGUUAAAUUGAGGUGGAC
RNAcentral lists this non-coding RNA (29 nucleotides) under Mus musculus (house mouse). Lineage: Eukaryota; Metazoa; Chordata; Mammalia; Rodentia; Muridae. The record is from RNAcentral.